RNAcentral lists this transfer RNA (60 nucleotides) under Lachnospiraceae bacterium. RNAcentral's name for it is "tRNA-Ser". It matches the Rfam family "tRNA", at positions 16 to 71 of the family's 71-position model. Rfam says of the family: Transfer RNA (tRNA) molecules are approximately 80 nucleotides in length. Their secondary structure includes four short double-helical elements and three loops (D, anti-codon, and T loops). Further hydrogen bonds mediate the characteristic L-shaped molecular structure. tRNAs have two regions of fundamental functional importance: the anti-codon, which is responsible for specific mRNA codon recognition, and the 3' end, to which the tRNAs corresponding amino acid is attached (by aminoacyl-tRNA synthetases). tRNAs cope with the degeneracy of the genetic code in two manners: having more than one tRNA (with a specific anti-codon) for a particular amino acid; and 'wobble' base-pairing, i.e. permitting non-standard base-pairing at the 3rd anti-codon position. The record is from RNAcentral. Lineage: Bacteria; Bacillati; Bacillota; Clostridia; Lachnospirales; Lachnospiraceae.
UUGGUUAGCGCGCCAGAUUGUGGUUCUGGAUAUCAUGGGUUCGAGUCCCAUUACCCACCC